UUUAGAAAAUCCUAAGUAGGAAUUAUCUUGAUAGGGUGAAAAUUGUAGUGUUAAUCUGUUUCUAAAG
This 67-nucleotide transfer RNA is filed under the name Singhiella simplex. Its description in RNAcentral is "tRNA-Ile". The record is from RNAcentral. Lineage: Eukaryota; Metazoa; Arthropoda; Insecta; Hemiptera; Aleyrodidae.